RNAcentral lists this ribosomal RNA (463 nucleotides) under uncultured bacterium. RNAcentral's name for it is "bacterial SSU rRNA". It matches the Rfam family "Bacterial small subunit ribosomal RNA", at positions 343 to 797 of the family's 1533-position model. The record is from RNAcentral.
UGGAGGCAGCAGUGGGGAAUUGUUCGCAAUGGGCGCAAGCCUGACGACGCAACGCCGCGUGGAGGAUGAAGAUCUUCGGGUCGUAAACUCCUUUCGAUCGGGAAGAACGUUUUCCGGGUGAACAAUCCGGAGAAGUGACGGUACCGAGAGAAGAAGCCCCGGCUAACUCUGUGCCAGCAGCCGCGGUAAUACAGGGGGGGCAAGCGUUGUUCGGAAUUACUGGGCGUAAAGGGCCAGUAGGCGGCCGGCUAAGUCCGACGUGAAAUCCCCAGGCUUAACUUGGGAACUGCGUCGGAUACUGGCUGGCUUGAAUUCGGGAGAGGGAUGCAGAAUUCCAGGUGUAGCGGUGAAAUGCGUAGAUAUCUGGAGGAAUACCGGUGGCGAAGGCGGCAUCCUGGACCGACAUUGACGCUGAACGGCGAAAGCUAGGGGAGCAAACGGGAUUAGAUACCCCAGUAGUCCG